This 253-nucleotide ribosomal RNA is filed under the name uncultured bacterium. RNAcentral describes it as "partial 16S ribosomal RNA". It matches the Rfam family "Bacterial small subunit ribosomal RNA", at positions 524 to 776 of the family's 1533-position model. The record is from RNAcentral.
UACGAAGGGGGCUAGCGUUGCUCGGAAUUACUGGGCGUAAAGCGCACGUAGGCGGCUUUGCAAGUCAGAGGUGAAAGCCCGGGGCUCAACCCCGGAAUAGCCUUUGAGACUGCAUCGCUUGAACAUCGGAGAGGUAAGUGGAAUUCCGAGUGUAGAGGUGAAAUUCGUAGAUAUUCGGAAGAACACCAGUGGCGAAGGCGACUUACUGGACGAUUGUUGACGCUGAGGUGCGAAAGCGUGGGGAGCAAACAGG